Molecule: small nucleolar RNA, 105 nt
Organism: Cavia porcellus (domestic guinea pig)
Lineage: Eukaryota; Metazoa; Chordata; Mammalia; Rodentia; Caviidae
Rfam family: Small nucleolar RNA U13
Source: Rfam
AGCUUCAAGAGGUUCAUAAGCGUGAUGAUUGGGUGUUCAUGCUCUAUGCAUGACAUGUGCCUCCUUUCAACCUUGUUACGACCUCGGCACAUUACCCGUCUGACA